AUUGAACGCUGGCGGCAGGCCUAACACAUGCAAGUCGAGCGGAUGAAGGGAGCUUGCUCCUGGCUUCAGCUGCGGACGGGUGAGUAAUGCCUAGGAAUCUGCCUGGUAGUGGGGGAUAACGUCCGGUCACGGGCGCUAAUCCCGCAUACGUCCUGAGGGUGAAAGUGAUGGUUCUUCAGUCCUCACGCUAUCUGAUGACCCUAGGUCGGAUUAGCUAGUUGGUGGGGUAAGGGCUUACCAAGGCGACGAUCCGUAACUGGUCUGAGAGGAUGAUCAGUCACACUGGAACUGAGACACGGUCCAGACUCCUACGGGAGGCAGCAGUAGGGAAUCUUGGGCAAUGGGCGAAAGCCUGAUCGAGCCAUGCCGCGUGUGUGAAGAAGGUCUUCGGAUUGUAAAGCACUGUAAGUUGGGAGGAAGAGAAGUGAGUUAAUACCUUGCUGUCUUGACGUUACCAACAGAGAAAGCACCGGCUAACUUCGUG
Molecule: ribosomal RNA, 484 nt
Filed under: uncultured bacterium
Lineage: Bacteria
Description: partial 16S ribosomal RNA
Rfam family: Bacterial small subunit ribosomal RNA
Source: RNAcentral